Molecule: long non-coding RNA, 539 nt
Organism: Tupaia belangeri chinensis (Chinese tree shrew)
Lineage: Eukaryota; Metazoa; Chordata; Mammalia; Scandentia; Tupaiidae
Exons: 5
Source: RefSeq, a predicted model, not a curated record
GGGCCGGGACACUUGGCGCCCGAACAGGGACUUAGGUACGGGGGAUCCAGUGAAGAGCUCCCCAGGAAGGCUCCAAUGCAGAGCAACCCAGAAAAGCCGUGGCGGAAAACAGACAGGACGGCAUAGAAUCGUCCAGAAGGGAAUGGCAGAGAGUCAUUCCGAGAAAGGCUGGAGAAAACUAUAGAAGGACGAAGAGAAGACGUCCUGGCUUUGUUACUGAGUCAGACCACACAUGUCAUUGACACCAAAAAAUUAAGAAAUGUCUGAAAGAAAUUUCUAGUGUUUGAAAGUCAAUAUGAGAUGUGACAAAAUUAUGGUGGAAUAGGAAGUGUCCAGUUUCAGUCCCCUUCGCAGGAAGACCAGCUAACAAAUACUCGCAGAAUUGGAAGUCCCAGCCAGAGCAACAAUCAACCAACCAAUAAAUAAAAGACUUACUCUGUAACUGUCACAAAAUAUGUGAGGAUGAGGAACAGCAAUAAAAACUGGCAAACAGGCAAUUGUGUUCCAGGGAUAUACUCAAUUUAAUGAUAUUAAAAAAA